RNAcentral lists this long non-coding RNA (332 nucleotides) under Coturnix japonica (Japanese quail). Its description in RNAcentral is "lncRNA (ENSCJPG00005005972.1)". Lineage: Eukaryota; Metazoa; Chordata; Aves; Galliformes; Phasianidae. The record is from RNAcentral.
AAAAAAGUGCUGCGCAGGAAAUGUUACAAUUCUGCAAGAAUAUCAGGAAAAGAUCACAAGGAAAACCAUUAUAGAGGAAAUGAGCAGUUCUGAAAAAAGCCCAAAACACCACACAGUGUGCAUCAGAGGGAGAGAAAAUGACUCUGAAAUCUUACUCAAAUGCUGGAUACAUGAAGGCAAGCUUUGGAGGCACUUGUCCCAAGCAUCACAAUACUGUUAUGCCUGUUGGCUGGGAAAAGAGCUUUAAACUAGAAACGUGUGAAGGCGUGAUGGUAAGAUACCCCAGUAAUCUUAUUUAUUUAUUUAUUUAUUGGUCUUUUUAAGAACACCUC